RNAcentral lists this ribosomal RNA (496 nucleotides) under uncultured bacterium. Its description in RNAcentral is "partial 16S ribosomal RNA". It matches the Rfam family "Bacterial small subunit ribosomal RNA", at positions 28 to 506 of the family's 1533-position model. The record is from RNAcentral.
GAUGAACGCUGGCGGCGUGCCUAAUACAUGCAAGUCGAGCGAACAGACGAGGAGCUUGCUCCUCUGACGUUAGCGGCGGACGGGUGAGUAACACGUGGAUAACCUACCUAUAAGACUGGGAUAACUUCGGGAAACCGGAGCUAAUACCGGAUAAUAUAUUGAACCGCAUGGUUCAAUAGUGAAAGACGGUUUUGCUGUCACUUAUAGAUGGAUCCGCGCCGCAUUAGCUAGUUGGUAAGGUAACGGCUUACCAAGGCAACGAUGCGUAGCCGACCUGAGAGGGGGAUCGGCCAAACUUGAACUUAGACACGGGCCAGAACCCUACGGGAGGCAGCAGGAGGGAAUCCUCCGCAAUGGGCGAAAGCCUGACGGAGCAACGCCGCCGGAGUGAUGAAGGUCUUCGGAUCGUAAAACUCUGUUAUUAGGGAAGAACAAAUUUGUAAGUAACUAUGCACGUCUUGACGGUACCUAAUCAGAAAGCCACGGCUAACUACGU